This is a long non-coding RNA of Ornithorhynchus anatinus (platypus), 1079 nucleotides long. RefSeq lists it as uncharacterized. The transcript is spliced from 2 exons. Lineage: Eukaryota; Metazoa; Chordata; Mammalia; Monotremata; Ornithorhynchidae. The record is from RefSeq and is a predicted model, not a curated record.
CUCAGUACAAUGCUCCGCCCUCGGUAAGCGCUCAAUAAAUAACCACGCUGGAUGAUGAUGGUGAUGACGAGUGGGCGAAGUGGUGGAAGGCAAGUGAUAACUGGUUGCGGAGAUACACCUCCACUUCAUCUGUUGCUCUGAAAUCCAUCUGCAGACCGGCCCAGAGGAGAAUUGAGGCAUGCCGAACAUCCAGUGGUUCAGUAGCGUCCAGUUCGGAAGAACUAAAAAACUUGCUGGGAAAUUUAUCUGCCCCAGGAUUGACAUCAACCUAGGCUCCUAGAAACCAGUGCUACCCCUGACAGAGGACCAGAAAGACGCUAUCGCCAGAGACGACCUCCUUCUUGACAUUUCCCCUCAUCCGGGCCUUCCUCCUCCCCACAGACAGCCACAACUCUCCAGUGCCGCAGUCCCUGACAUCCUGCUUCCAUGACGUCAGCCCCUGGACGAGGGAGGGGCAGGGGGCUCCUCUCUCCCAGCCUCGCAAGGUGGACCCUAUAGAAGUCAGCACCUAUGGAGGAUUUGUCUCUGCUCGUAUCCUGAGGGAGGGUGAAGCAACUUUAUUCUUCUCCCACUCAUGCCAAUCAAGAUCUAACAAGAUUUUGUUUCCGUCCCCCAACGCCUCACUGGCUCGCUUGUUUGUGCGUCCCAUCAGAUUCAGCAGAUGUUUCCUUCCUUCCUGAUUUGGCCUGUUAUGGCUGACCGAGUGUGGAGUUUUGCCGCUCUCCUAAUUAUUUAUUCUGAUUGUAAAUCCCUCGGGAAGGAUCCAGCUCCGACAAGUUCAUCUGUAUUUUGCUGCCGCUCAAUAAACGUUUAGCAAGUUAACUGCCAGCUUUUUCAGAUCUCGACUCCCCAAAUACCUGACUACAAGUUUCUCCAAUUAUUCAAAAGAGAGCUUGACCCCCGAGAGUUAUCGCCUCACCCUUCCCUUCACUAGAAAUCAAAAUAAUCCUUUAUUGUUCAUCUAGCCACUCCUCAAACUUCCUCAGAAGAUUUGGAAGGGUAAAUUUCAUUCUUCAGACAUUCAGCUGCUUCAGGCAUCAGCUCCAUUUGCAGGGCUGAGCAUGUGUGAUAGCGGCCAG